Molecule: transfer RNA, 58 nt
Filed under: Monomorium pharaonis (pharaoh ant)
Lineage: Eukaryota; Metazoa; Arthropoda; Insecta; Hymenoptera; Formicidae
Description: tRNA-Ser
Source: RNAcentral
GAAGUAAUUAGAAGUGAACUUCUAAUUCACCACUUUAUGGUCUUACCAUAUUACUUCU